This 299-nucleotide signal recognition particle RNA is filed under the name Cebus imitator (Panamanian white-faced capuchin). Its description in RNAcentral is "Metazoan signal recognition particle RNA (ENSCCAG00000005432.1)". It matches the Rfam family "Metazoan signal recognition particle RNA". Rfam says of the family: The signal recognition particle (SRP) is a universally conserved ribonucleoprotein. It is involved in the co-translational targeting of proteins to membranes. The eukaryotic SRP consists of a 300-nucleotide 7S RNA and six proteins: SRPs 72, 68, 54, 19, 14, and 9. Lineage: Eukaryota; Metazoa; Chordata; Mammalia; Primates; Cebidae. The record is from RNAcentral.
GCCGGGUGUGGUAGCGCGUGCCAGUAGUCCCAGCUAUUCGGGAGGCUGAGGCUGGAGGAUUGCUUGAGUUCAGGAGUUCUGGGCUGUAGUGCACUAUGCCGAUUGGGUGUCCGCACGAAGUUCAGCAUCAAUAUGGUGACCUACCGGGAGCAGGGGACCACCAGGUUGCCUGAGGAGGGGUGAACUGGCCCAGGUCGGAAAUGGAGCAGGUCAAAACUCCCAUGCUGAUGAGUAGUGGGAUAGUGCCUGUGAAUAGCCACUGCACUCCAGCCUGGGCAAUCUAGCGAGACCCUGUCUCU